Molecule: ribosomal RNA, 433 nt
Filed under: uncultured bacterium
Lineage: Bacteria
Description: partial 16S ribosomal RNA
Rfam family: Bacterial small subunit ribosomal RNA
Source: RNAcentral
AACGAACGCUGGCGGCAUGCCUAACACAUGCAAGUCGAACGAGACCUUCGGGUCUAGUGGCGCACGGGUGCGUAACGCGUGGGAACCUGCCCUUAGGUUCGGAAUAACUCCCCGAAAGGGGUGCUAAUACCGGAUAAUGUCUUCGGACCAAAGAUUUAUCGCCUUUGGAUGGGCCCGCGUUGGAUUAGCUAGUUGGUAGUGUAAAAGCCUACCAAGGCGACGAUCCAUAGCUGGUCUGAGAGGAUGAUCAGCCACACUGGGACUGAGACACGGCCCAGACUCCUACGGGAGGCAGCAGUGGGGAAUAUUGGACAAUGGGCGAAAGCCUGAUACAGCAAUGCCGCGUGAGUGAUGAAGGCCUUAGGGUUGUAAAGCUCUUUUAACCGGGAUGAUAAUGACAGUACCGGGAGAAUAAGCUCCGGCUAACUCCGUG